RNAcentral lists this long non-coding RNA (220 nucleotides) under Amborella trichopoda. Its description in RNAcentral is "long non-coding RNA (ATRI_LNC001135)". The record is from RNAcentral. Lineage: Eukaryota; Viridiplantae; Streptophyta; Magnoliopsida; Amborellales; Amborellaceae.
UCUCUAAGAACCAUUUUCUCCCUAUAAGCACUCUAGCAAGGUCUAACUAUUGGCUGGGCUUUGACAAGACUUGGCUAGAGUGCGAAGAGUGCUACGCAAGCCUACAUAGGUGCACAAUCAUUUGUGAUGGAUGAACAAACAAGAGGGGCAGGUCCUUCAUUCAUUUUUUGGUGACUUGUCUUCGAGGUACGAUGGUUGUGAUGGCGGUAGAUGCUACAUU